UACGAAGGGGGGCUAGCGUUGCUCGGAAUCACUGGGCGUAAAGGGUGCGUAGGCGGGUCUUUAAGUCAGGGGUGAAAUCCUGGAGCUCAACUCCAGAACUGCCUUUGAUACUGAGGAUCUUGAGUCCGGGAGAGGUGAGUGGAACUGCGAGUGUAGAGGUGAAAUUCGUAGAUAUUCGCAAGAACACCAGUGGCGAAGGCGGCUCACUGGCCCGGUACUGACGCUGAGGCACGAAAGCGUGGGGAGCAAACAGGG
RNAcentral lists this ribosomal RNA (255 nucleotides) under uncultured bacterium. Its description in RNAcentral is "partial 16S ribosomal RNA". It matches the Rfam family "Bacterial small subunit ribosomal RNA", at positions 524 to 777 of the family's 1533-position model. The record is from RNAcentral.